AGUGAACGCUGGCGGUAGGCCUAACACAUGCAAGUCGAACGGCAGCACAGUAAGAGCUUGCUCUUACGGGUGGCGAGUGGCGGACGGGUGAGGAAUACAUCGGAAUCUACUUUUUCGUGGGGGAUAACGUAGGGACACGUACGCUAAUACCGCAUACGACCUACGGGUGAAAGCAGGGGAUCUUCGGACCUUGCGCGAUUGAAUGAGCCGAUGUCGGAUUAGCUAGUUGGCGGGGUAAAGGCCCACCAAGGCGACGAUCCGUAGCUGGUCUGAGAGGAUGAUCGGCCACACUGGAACUGAGACACGGUCCAGACUCCUACGGGAGGCAGCAGUGGGGAAUAUUGGGCAAUGGGCGCAAGCCUGAUCCAGCCAUACCGCGUGGGUGAAGAAGGCCUUCGGGUUGUAAAGCCCUUUUGUUGGGAAAGAACAGCAGCAGGUUAAUACCCCGCUGUUCUGACGGUACCCAAAGAAUAAGCACCGGCUAACUUCGUG
RNAcentral lists this ribosomal RNA (492 nucleotides) under uncultured bacterium. RNAcentral describes it as "partial 16S ribosomal RNA". It matches the Rfam family "Bacterial small subunit ribosomal RNA", at positions 29 to 507 of the family's 1533-position model. The record is from RNAcentral.